Molecule: long non-coding RNA, 272 nt
Filed under: Musa acuminata (dwarf banana)
Lineage: Eukaryota; Viridiplantae; Streptophyta; Magnoliopsida; Zingiberales; Musaceae
Description: long non-coding RNA (MACU_LNC008440)
Source: RNAcentral
UUUGUCAUUAACGUUUUGCAUGAAGGAGGAAAGCCACUGUGAACUUACUUGAAUGAAGUUAAAAUGAUAAGAGAUUAAAUCAUACUUCAUUUUAAAAAUCUUCCUUCAUCAAGAAGAAAUUCAUAAGAAGGAAUCAUUUUAUCAAAUCCAUUUCUCAAAAAAAUAUUUUUCACAAGGUAAAUCUAUGAGAGAUGCAUUUGUUAAUUGAUUUCAUAUGUCAAAAAUCAAUGAUAUAAAAUAAACUUGAUAUGACAUAGGCUUAUGAAAGCUAU